Molecule: long non-coding RNA, 1099 nt
Organism: Tribolium castaneum (red flour beetle)
Lineage: Eukaryota; Metazoa; Arthropoda; Insecta; Coleoptera; Tenebrionidae
Exons: 2
Source: RefSeq, a predicted model, not a curated record
UGACACAAAAAUUAAAAAAUAGCUAUUUAUGUAAUAAGUACAUAAUGCAGGUCUUUAUUGGACGAGCCCUAAGUUUAUGGACGAGCGAGCUUGCGAGCGAGUCUCAUAAAUAGGACAAGUCCAAAAAGCCUAAUUAUGUACGAAUUGCAUACAAAGCUUUAUGUUCGACUGCCGAAAUUGGUUUAUUAAUGAAUUUAAUAAACUUCAAUAAAUUAAUAAAUUUUAAUGAAACGCACCAAGUGUGCUUUUUCGGUUGUUUGGUUACGGAAUUGUUUAUUAUUUUUGUGAUGUGAAAAUUGUGUUUGAAAGCAAAAUGCAAACGUGCAGUUCAAAUAAAGAAGAAACUUGCAGCGAAAUAUCAAAUAUUGCUGCUGAUGCGAAAGAUUCUCUGUUACCAUCAAAAUCCAAGCAUUUGUACGAAGAAACAUAUAAUGUAGACGUCAAGAGCUAGUGACAUUAACGACAACAUGUGUUCAAGACUGCAAAACCCAUUUUUUAAUUAAGCUGGAAGACACCAAAACCAAAGUGGAUCGAUGUUUUAUAAUAACAGCAGGUAAACUCAAAAAUGUUAAUCUACUUGAACUUGUCAGAAGAUAUAUGGAAAUUCGACCCACCAAGACACCGCACAACAGAUUUUUUAUCAACUACACCAAGGAAAAAUGUACCAUUCAACCAGUUGGAAUCCACAAAAUUGGGGGUGUGCCUGCUAUAGUGGCCAAACGUAGCUCAGCUUCUCUUCUGGCAAAUGCAGGGGCCACUAUGGAAAGGAUAAAAAGACACGGAGGUUGGCGUUCAACUACAGUGGCAGAAGGUUAUAUCGAAGAAUGUGAAAAUACUAAAAUUAAGGUUGCAAACUUGAUCUUGGGUGAAGAACCAUUGGCCUGCAAUAGCAUUUCUUCGGAAAAUCACGAAAAAUUUACAAGUUUGCGUGGAACCGAGGAAGUUGUAGGAAUGAAUAUUUGUGGCAACAAUAAUAGUGUUAUAAAUGUAAAUCAUUAUUACAACAAGCAAUAGUAUGUUUAUAUGGUUACAAUGUUACAAAGUUGAUAUGUAUGUAUUAUUAUAACUUCAAAUAAAUUUUGACAUUUCUGAAAAUAAA